UACGAAGGGGGCUAGCGUUGCUCGGAAUCACUGGGCGUAAAGCGCACGUAGGCGGGUCUUUAAGUCAGGGGUGAAAUCCUGGAGCUCAACUCCAGAACUGCCUUUGAUACUGAGGAUCUCGAGUCCGGGAGAGGUGAGUGGAACUCCGAGUGUAGAGGUGAAAUUCGUAGAUAUUCGGAAGAACACCAGUGGCGAAGGCGGACUCACUGGCCCGGUACUGACGCUGAGGUGCGGAAAGCGUGGGGAGCAAACAGG
This 255-nucleotide ribosomal RNA is filed under the name uncultured bacterium. RNAcentral describes it as "partial 16S ribosomal RNA". It matches the Rfam family "Bacterial small subunit ribosomal RNA", at positions 524 to 776 of the family's 1533-position model. The record is from RNAcentral.